This 465-nucleotide ribosomal RNA is filed under the name Vreelandella stevensii. RNAcentral describes it as "partial 16S ribosomal RNA". It matches the Rfam family "Bacterial small subunit ribosomal RNA", at positions 338 to 795 of the family's 1533-position model. Lineage: Bacteria; Pseudomonadati; Pseudomonadota; Gammaproteobacteria; Oceanospirillales; Halomonadaceae. The record is from RNAcentral.
CCUACGGGUGGCUGCAGUGGGGAAUAUUGGACAAUGGGCGAAAGCCUGAUCCAGCCAUGCCGCGUGUGUGAAGAAGGCCUUCGGGUUGUAAAGCACUUUCAGUGGGGAAGAAAGCCUUGGGGCUAAUACCCUCGAGGAAGGACAUCACCCACAGAAGAAGCACCGGCUAACUCCGUGCCAGCAGCCGCGGUAAUACGGAGGGUGCGAGCGUUAAUCGGAAUUACUGGGCGUAAAGCGCGCGUAGGCGGUCUGAUAAGCCGGUUGUGAAAGCCCCGGGCUCAACCUGGGAACGGCAUCCGGAACUGUCAGGCUAGAGUGCAGGAGAGGAAGGUAGAAUUCCCAGUGUAGCGGUGAAAUGCGUAGAGAUCGGGAGGAAUACCAGUGGCGAAGGCGGCCUUCUGGACUGACACUGACGCUGAGGUGCGAAAGCGUGGGUAGCAAACAGGAUUAGAUACCCUAGUAGUC